GCAGCUGUGUGCACCUCAGAUGGAGCAGCCAAAAAGAGCUCAGAGCUUUGGUCCUGACUUUGCAGCCCAAGUGAGAUCAUGGGUUUUGUACUCCAGGCACUGUGCUAGGCACCAGGACUAUAAUACAACUUGUGAUCUGUAGAGGAGUCAGACAAUUAUCCAGGCAUCCCAAAGAAAUGUCAAUUGCAAGCCUGGAUCCCUUUUUCCCUGGAGGCUGUUCUGAAGAUGGCACCCUACCUGCUCACCUUUUAGUGUACCUGGGCACCCAUGCCUCCAUAUGGUGACCCUCAAAUCAUACUGUAUGAAGAGCAGC
This 313-nucleotide long non-coding RNA is filed under the name Homo sapiens (human). RNAcentral's name for it is "HSALNT0022358". The record is from RNAcentral. Lineage: Eukaryota; Metazoa; Chordata; Mammalia; Primates; Hominidae.